GUGCAGCAGGCGCGAAACCUCCGCAAUGCGCGAUUGCGUGACGGGGUCACCCCGAGUGUCGCUCGCUGAGGGCGACUUUUACUUGGUGUAGCGAGCCAAGUGAAUAAGGGGAGGGCAAGUCUGGUGUCAGCCGCCGCGGUAAUACCAGCUCCUCGAGUGGUUGGGACGAUUAUUGGGUCUAAAGCAUCCGUAGCCGGCUGGAAAAGUCCCCCGUUAAAUCCAACGACCCAAUCGUUGGGCUGCGGAGGAUACUUUCUAGCUUGGGGGCGAGGGAGGCUGACGGUAUUCCCGGGGUAGGGGCGAAAUCCUAUAAUCCCGGGAGGACCACCAGUGGCGAAGGCGGUCAGCUAAAGCGCGCCCGACGGUGAGGGAUGAAAGCUGGGGGAGCGAACGGGAUUAGAUACCCCGGUAGUCC
This 415-nucleotide ribosomal RNA is filed under the name uncultured archaeon. RNAcentral describes it as "partial 16S ribosomal RNA". It matches the Rfam family "Archaeal small subunit ribosomal RNA", at positions 330 to 747 of the family's 1478-position model. The record is from RNAcentral.